GAUCAUGGCUCAGGAUGAACGCUAGCUACAGGCUUAACACAUGCAAGUCGAGGGGCAGCGGGAUUGAAGCUUGCUUCAAUUGCCGGCGACCGGCGCACGGGUGAGUAACGCGUAUCCAACCUUCCGUACACUCAGGGAUAGCCUUUCGAAAGAAAGAUUAAUACCUGAUGGUACCUUAAGCACACAUGUAAUUAAGAUUAAAGAUUUAUCGGUGUACGAUGGGGAUGCGUUCCAUUAGGUAGUAGGG
Molecule: ribosomal RNA, 247 nt
Filed under: uncultured bacterium
Lineage: Bacteria
Description: partial 16S ribosomal RNA
Rfam family: Bacterial small subunit ribosomal RNA
Source: RNAcentral